UGGUGGAGUGAUUUGUCUGCUUAAUUGCGAUAACGAACGAGACCUUAUACUACUAAAUAGCCAGGCUCGCUUUGGCGGGUCGCCGGCUUCUUAGAGUGACUUUCGGCUCAAGCCGAAGGAAGUUUGAGGCAAUAACA
Molecule: ribosomal RNA, 137 nt
Filed under: uncultured eukaryote
Lineage: Eukaryota
Description: partial 18S ribosomal RNA
Rfam family: Eukaryotic small subunit ribosomal RNA
Source: RNAcentral